ACCCAGAGCGGUGAGCCCAGUCCCGAGUCCCAGAGGGAGCUCCAGCAAUAGGGGCCAUGUCGCCGUAGCCCCAGCCUCUCGGUCCACAGCCUCAGCAGCAUCCCAGCCGGCUGGCUUCAUGCUGCGGUGCAGCUGCACCAUGUUCCUGGGUUGAGGGGGCAAUCAGGCACGCUCCUCCCCAUGGGUUGCCCAUCAUGUCUAAUGGAUAUCGCACUCUGUCCCAGCACCUCAAUGACCUGAAGAAGGAGAACUUCAGCCUCAAGCUGCGCAUCUACUUCCUGGAGGAGCGCAUGCAACAGAAGUAUGAGGCCAGCCGGGAGGACAUCUACAAGCGGGAGAAUUGAAGAACUGAAUCAGAACCUGGCUGCCCAGGAGA
This 376-nucleotide small RNA is filed under the name Pongo abelii (Sumatran orangutan). Its description in RNAcentral is "processed transcript". Lineage: Eukaryota; Metazoa; Chordata; Mammalia; Primates; Hominidae. The record is from RNAcentral.